RNAcentral lists this ribosomal RNA (305 nucleotides) under uncultured bacterium. RNAcentral's name for it is "bacterial SSU rRNA". It matches the Rfam family "Bacterial small subunit ribosomal RNA", at positions 335 to 656 of the family's 1533-position model. The record is from RNAcentral.
UUCCCUACGGGACGCAGCAGUGGGGGAUAUUGCACAAUGGGGGGAACCCUGAUGCAGCGACGCCGCGUGGGUGAAGAAGCGCCCCGGCGCGUAAAGCCCUGUCAGCAGGGAAGAAGAAGGACGGUACCUGACCAAGAAGCCCCGGCUAACUACGUGCCAGCAGCCGCGGUAAUACGUAGGGGGCAAGCGUUAUCCGGAUUUACUGGGUGUAAAGGGGGCGCAGACGGCGAUGCAAGCCAGGAGUGAAAGCCCGGGGCCCAACCCCGGGACUGCUCUUGGAACUGCGUGGCUGGAGUGCAGGAGGG